CGCGGGGUAGAGCAGUUUGGUAGCUCGUCGGGCUCAUAACCCGGAGGUCGCAGGUUCAAAUCCUGUCCCCGCAACCA
RNAcentral lists this transfer RNA (77 nucleotides) under Christensenella hongkongensis. Its description in RNAcentral is "Catabacter hongkongensis tRNA-Met". It matches the Rfam family "tRNA". Rfam says of the family: Transfer RNA (tRNA) molecules are approximately 80 nucleotides in length. The record is from RNAcentral. RNAcentral also lists the same sequence under 4 other names. Lineage: Bacteria; Bacillati; Bacillota; Clostridia; Christensenellales; Christensenellaceae.